RNAcentral lists this transfer RNA (73 nucleotides) under Ixodes scapularis (black-legged tick). It matches the Rfam family "tRNA". Rfam says of the family: Transfer RNA (tRNA) molecules are approximately 80 nucleotides in length. Their secondary structure includes four short double-helical elements and three loops (D, anti-codon, and T loops). The record is from Rfam by way of RNAcentral. Lineage: Eukaryota; Metazoa; Arthropoda; Arachnida; Ixodida; Ixodidae.
GCCCGGCUAUCUCAAUCGGUAGAGCACGAGACUCUUAAUCUCGGGGUCGUGAGUUCGAGCCCCACGUUGGGCC